AUGAUUGAGAGUUUGAUCCUGGCUCAGAACGAACGCUGGCGGCGUGGAUUAGGCAUGCAAGUCGAACGAGAAUCCCGUGAACGGAAGCUUCGGCCGAAGGGAUCGGGAGGACAGUGGCGAACGGGUGAGUAACGCGUAAGCAAUCUGCCCUUGACUGGGGAAUAACGUUUCGAAAGAGACGCUAAUACCGCAUA
Molecule: ribosomal RNA, 194 nt
Filed under: Candidatus Erginobacter occultus
Lineage: Bacteria; Pseudomonadati; Candidatus Auribacterota; Candidatus Erginobacteria; Candidatus Erginobacterales; Candidatus Erginobacteraceae
Description: partial 16S ribosomal RNA
Rfam family: Bacterial small subunit ribosomal RNA
Source: RNAcentral